RNAcentral lists this ribosomal RNA (336 nucleotides) under uncultured bacterium. RNAcentral's name for it is "bacterial SSU rRNA". It matches the Rfam family "Bacterial small subunit ribosomal RNA", at positions 18 to 347 of the family's 1533-position model. The record is from RNAcentral.
CGUGGCUCUGACUAACGCUGGCGGUGUGCUUUCACCUACUAGUUCAACGAUGGAAGCCCAGCUUGCUGGUUGGAUUGUUGGCGAAUUGCUGAAUAUUACGUGAGUAGCCUGCCUUUACCUCUGGGAUAAGCCUUGGAAACGGGGUCUAAUACCGGAUACAACCAACCUUCCCUUGAGGUGUUGAUGUAAAGGGAUUUUGUACUGGUUUUACAUGGUUUCUGGGACUAUCUCCUUGUUGGUGAGGUAACGGCCUUUCUAGGCGACAAUGGGUAGCCGGCCUGACAGGGUGAUCGGGCACACUGAUGACUGAGACUCGGCCCCGACUCUCUACCGGAU